AGAGUUUGAUCCUGGCUCAGAGCGAACGCUGGCGGCGUGCUUAACACAUGCAAGUCGAGUGCGCGCCUGUAGCAAUACAGGUGGCGCACGGCGCACGGGUGCGUAACACGUGGGUAAUCUGCCCUUCGAUGGGGGAAUAACUCCGGGAAACCGAAGCUAAUUCCGCAUAACAUUCCUUGGACCUCGGUUCGGGGAUUCAAAGCCGUAAGGCGUCGGAGGAGGAACCCGCGCACGAUUAGCUAGUUGGUAGGGUAACGGCCUACCAAGGCUUUGAUCGUUAGCUGGUCUGAGAGGAUGGCCAGCCACACUGGAACUGAGACACGGUCCAGACUCCUACGGGAGGCAGCAGUGGGGAAUCUUGCACAAUGGGCGAAAGCCUGAUGCAGCGACGCCGCGUGGGGGAUGAAGCUUCUCGGAGUGUAAACCCCUUUCGACCCGGACGAAUGCCCCGCAAGGGGACUGACGGUACGGGUAUAAGAAGCCCCGGCUAACUACGUGCCAGCAGCCGCGGUAAGACGUGGGGGGCCAGCGUUGCUCGGAAUUACUGGGUGUAAAGGGUUCGUAGGCGGUGUGGCAAGUCGGGAGUGAAAUCUCUGGGCUUAACUCAGAGACUGCUUCCGAAACUGCUGUGCUUGAGUGUGGGAGAGGCGCGUGGAAUUGCAGGUGUAGCGGUGAAAUGCGUAGAUAUCUGCAGGAACACCCGUGGCGAAAGCGGCGCGCUGGACCACUACUGACGCUGAGGAACGAAAGCUAGGGGAGCAAACAGGAUUAGAUACCCCGGUAGUCC
This 787-nucleotide ribosomal RNA is filed under the name uncultured bacterium. RNAcentral describes it as "bacterial SSU rRNA". It matches the Rfam family "Bacterial small subunit ribosomal RNA", at positions 8 to 796 of the family's 1533-position model. The record is from RNAcentral.